AUAAAAAUAAUAGUUUUCACUCAUAUAAUCGCAGGAAUAUGGCCUGCAAGUUUCUACCGGACCCCGUAAAGGUACCGACUAUGAGUAGCGAUAUGAUUGUG
Molecule: non-coding RNA, 101 nt
Filed under: Virgibacillus necropolis
Lineage: Bacteria; Bacillati; Bacillota; Bacilli; Caryophanales; Bacillaceae
Description: Guanine sequence
Rfam family: Purine riboswitch aptamer
About the family: Riboswitches are metabolite binding domains within certain messenger RNAs that serve as precision sensors for their corresponding targets. Allosteric rearrangement of mRNA structure is mediated by ligand binding, and this results in modulation of gene expression.
Source: Rfam by way of RNAcentral